CGGGCUUGGUUAAUACUUGGAUGGGAGACGCCUGGGAAUACCAGGUGCUGUGAGCCUUUUC
Molecule: ribosomal RNA, 61 nt
Filed under: Hime japonica
Lineage: Eukaryota; Metazoa; Chordata; Actinopteri; Aulopiformes; Aulopidae
Source: RNAcentral